UCUGGAUACUGUAUGUGCUUUCUUCUCUUACAAGUGAUGACAUCAACUUCAGGUAAGAACAUCUACUUUUUUCCUACUCAGUCUCAGCUGUGGAAAGAAUCUAGUGCAUCACCUUUUAGUGAGUAUUAAAGUCAGCACUUCAUUGUAAUAUCAAGAGAAAGACUGAAAAAUGGAAAUCAGCAACUCUUCUUAGAUCCAUGAAAAAUGAGAUUACAGGGCAAACCACUUCCCCCCAUAUUGGAGACACAGACAGGUGUAAGAAUCUACCAAAGCAGCAAACCAUAAGCAGAAACCUUUGGAGAAAACAGUACCAGGAUUGGAAAAUCUAAACCCUAAUUAUUCAAUUGCUAGAGGUUGUAUAGACCUGUCUGAGUCAAAAACUCCAGAGAAGACCAGGGCAGGCAGGACACUUGUGCCUUUUACCUCUAGUGUUUCUACCAGGUUCUUACAGUAAAUGAUUGGAGAAAAUUUCUUUGUGCUUCCAGCAAGGGGAAGAGAAAAGUAAUCAUUUUGAUACAUACUUGUCUUAAAAAAACAUUGUACUCAAGAAAACUAUUUUGCCAGAGCCCAACCUAUUAUAGUUCCAUAACCCUAAGUAACCCAGGGGAAGGGUAAUAUCUAACUUCAGGCUCCUCUAUCCAUCCUGUCCCACUUAAGAGGGAGCAGAAUCCAGGGAAGCACUCAUGAAGCUCACUUCCCAAGAGCACAGGCUCACCCAAACUGAAACCUAAUCAGAGAAUCACAGAAUGCUUCUCUUCCCCCCAAACUGUGUCACUUCAUCACUAAAAAUCUCUCACCAGAAUUCUUCCCCACACACACACACAAAAAAAAAAAAAACCCGGGAAACAUACUAAAAGGCAAAUCUAUAGUUUGAAGAGAGAGAACAAAACCAGAUUCAGAUAUGAUGGGGAUUUAUCAGACCAGGACUUUAAAACAACUAUAAAUAAUAUACUAAGGGGCCUAAUGGAAAAAGCAGAUAACAUUUAAGAAUAGAUGGAUAAUGUAAGUAGAGAGAUAUGAAUUCUAAGAAUACAAAAGAAAUGUUAUAGAUUAAAAGAAAGAAAUAUAAAAAUUACUGCCAAAAAACUCUCUUAGGUCACUUUUAGAGUUGUGUUAUUAGCUCUAUUGAAUAUAAACUUCUGUUUCUAUGUAAUCUUUUUCAUAAUGAUAGAAAUUUAGAAAAAUAAACAAUUUUUGUAACAAAAUCUAUAGGUCAAAGUAACAAAGAUAGCCCAAUAAAAUAACUUUCUAAAAUGAUGUGUUUAAUGACUGGAGGUACAAAAUAAUUUGUAAAUAUUGAAAGAUAAAUAGGCUUUAUAUCAGGAAUGUGCAGAUGGUUUGGAGCUAUCAAAGACCUUAUUGUGGCCUAAGAUUGAGAGAGCAACCCUGUUGUGGGCUUCAGUGAAAGAAUUGUCUCCAUAGUGGCAGAUGCAAAAAUGCAUUAAACAGUAAUUACAAACAGAGUUAUACAUGGUCAAAACUGCCUAAAGGAAUUUAUUUGGAGCAUAUGGGAGAAGAUUGCAAUAGAAACAAAGAGGGAGAAGAAAACAAAGGGUUUGACUGAUGUGAGAUGGUUAGUGGAGCAUAUGCACCCAAGGAUGCAUCCGAGUUAUCACUGACUCCUUGCUCCUCACACCACCUCUUAGAUCCAUAUCCACAGGGCAUCACUGCACUGAAGGUACCACACCCUGAAAACAGUUCUGAGAGUGCUCUUCUGGUGUUCUGUGUGGAUUUGCAUUGGUCAGUGUGAAUCAAGUCAAGUGAUCUUUUUGGUUUUUCUCCUUGGAAUAAAUGAGGUUCUGCUGGAAUUGGUUCUACUGAAUUUGCUCAUUGAAAAGUUAUACUAAAAUAUCCCUUUUUUAGAUUUAGAAAUUUAUUCUUACAUUUUUGAAGGUUUUAUACAUUAACUAUGAUUUUGAUAAAAUUUUUAAAAUAUGUGCUAUCAUAGUAUCCUAAUUUUUGUUGAAUGCUUUGAUCUCAAAUUUUAUUUUGCCUAGUAUACCUAUUGUUAGUCUAGGUGUUAAAGCAUCAAUGUUAACAUGAUUACUUCUCAUAUUUGUUUAAUUUUAAUUGGAUAUUCUGUUAAAGUUUUCACUUGGGCUAGUAAUUCUCUUAUUCUCAUAUACAAAAUCAAAACUAAAUUCUUUUAUAGUGAAUGUGUCAAGCUAAAAAUGUAUCUGCUCUCCCCUUAAUUUCUGUGUUGCCUCUUUUUCUUCCUUCUAAAAAGGAAAUAUAUAUGAAUAUUUUAAAUUCUUUUAUAUACCUACUGCGUGGUCCUUCCAAGAAAAAAUAGUAAUUGUAAUUUUUAUCCUAGCAAUACUACAAAAAAAUCCCAAAUUUUGCUCAAGUGGUUAUAAGUUUUUAGCUUCAAAGCAUUAUUAAAUUUCUGUUAUUGCUAAUGUACUCUACUGUUCUUCCUACUCUCAGAAACAUGCUGAAAAUGAUAGAGAUUAUAAAAGAUAAAUAUUAAAUUAAUACACAUUUUUUCUAAUUUUCUAUUGCAGGGAAAUACAUAUAACAUAAAGUCUACAAUCUUAAUCAUUUUAAGUGUAUAUUUCAAUGGUAUUAGCCACAUUAUUUAAGUUGUGUAACCAUCCCAAUCAUCUGUUGAAAGAGGAAUUUUCAUAUUGUAAUUCUGAAACGCUAUACUUAUUAAACAAUUUUCCCCAUUCUCCCACCUUCAUCCCGAGGCAACCACCAUUCUACCUUCUGUCUCUGUGGUUUUAGCCACUCUAAAUACCUCACACAGGUGGACUCAUACAGUAUUUGUCUUUUUAUGGGGCUAGCCUAUUUUAAUAAUGUAGAAUAUGUCAGAAUUUCCUUUCUUUCUGAGACUGUAUAUUAUUCCUUUGUAUGUAUUACAUUUAUAUACCACAUCUUGUUUAUUCAUUCAUCUGUUGAUGGACACAUGAGUUGCUUUACUUAGCUGUAAAGGAUGCUGCUGUGAACAUAGGUGUACAAAUAUCUCUUUGAGACCCUGCUGUUAAUUCAAUUCAAUGUUACAUUUCAGGACAUACAUACAGCAUGCAGUGAUCAAAGCCACCAUCCCUUUACCUGGUCCCUACAUUUCCCAACCUCAAGUGAUCACUAUUUUGCAUUCAAACAAACAUAUUUUAGCUUCUGUAUAUGAAAGAGCACAUGGUACUUUUCUGUCUGUGUCUGGUUUGUUUUACUUAACAGUAUGUUUCAAUUUCAUCCAUUUGGCUAAAAGUGAUGGAAUUUCAUUCAUGUUUAUAACUGAAAAAUAUUCUCUUGUAUAUAUGUGUGUGUGUGUGUAUAUAUAUAUAUAUAUAUAUAUAUAUAUAAUAUAUGUGUAUAUACUAUCAAAUAUAUAAGUCACUGACUGAUAUAGACGUGACUUUAUUUUAAAGAGAUGUUUAAAUGCUAAAAUUUCCUAAUUUUUGAGUCAAAUUAAACAUCAACAACAAGGUUACAUCAUUAACAUGGUGUAAAAAGCACAAACAAUACCUGCAUUUCUCUAAUCCAGUAUUUCUGCUUCAAGCUUCCUGAUUUUUCAGAAAUUGUAUUGCCCUGAAAUAUACUAUAUGGACCUCAUUCUCAAAGGGAAUUUUCCUCAAAUUUGAGAUGAUGGUAGAGGCUCGUUCCUGGUUCUGAUCUUUGUUACAAUCUUGGUUAUUAUGAACUUUAAUCCUGAAAUAGUAAAUAUUAAUAUUCCCUCUUCUAUAACCUAUUAGAGUAAGCAUUCUAAUUUCAUUGGUGCUAUAGUUUGAUGUUGAAUGGCCCCCAAAGCCCAUGUGUUAAAGACUUAUUUUCCAGGGUGGCAGUGGCAGUGGCAGUGUUGGGAACUGGAAGAACCAUUAAGAAGUAGGACCUAGUGGAAAGUCUUUAGGUCAUGAGGGACAAGCCUUUGAAGGGGAUAAUGGAUUUUGGCUCUGUCCUUGCUCUUUUGCUUCCUGUUGAUGGUGUGGGCAGUUUAAUUCUACUAUGACCUCCCAACAUGAUGUGCUGUCUUGGCAUGGGCCCCUAAAACAACAGACAAGGAUCAUAAACUAAAAUCUACACCUACAUUUAUUUCUUAACUUACUAUUUCAAAGAGUGCCACAAUUAACAUGAUCAUUCAGGUAUUUCUUUUGUAUGUAGAUUUUAUUUUCUGUGAAUGUGUACAAAGUACUGGGAUUGUUGGAUCAUAUGGUAUAAGUUCUUUAAAGGAACCUCCAUACUGUUCUCAAUAAAGGCUAUACUAAUUUACAUUCAUAGCAGCAAUGUAUGAGAGUUCCUUUUCCUCCACAUCCUCACUAGCGCUUAUUUUUUUCUUUUUAGAUAGCAGCAAUUUUAAUUGGAGUUCAAUGAUGUCUCACUGUAGUUUUGAUUUUUACUUUACUGAUGGCUAAUAAUAUUAAGCAUUUUUUCAAAUGUCUAUGGGCCACCUUUUUAAAUUAUUUUCAGAAUAUUCCUGAAACAUUCAUGGAUGAAAAUUUCCUAAAUUUGAUGAAAGACAAAUAUCUGAGGUGUUCUUCCCCUUUCACUCUCUGUUCUCUUUCUGGAAAUCCUAAAAUGCAUGUGUUGGUCUGCUGGAUGAUGUCACACAUAUUCCCCCUUUUUUUCUUUAAUAUUUGUUUUUCUCCAUAAUUUGCAUGUUUUUGAAUUGUAUUUCUUUAAGUUUUGGGGGUUUUACUUCUUAUAAACUACUUUUGUGACAAGGUUCACCCUAAAGUAUAAGCCUAAGGUCUCCUUAUGUCUUUUAUGAUUCUGUGCUUUCUCUGGGCAUAUGCCUACACUUUGUAAUUCUUCCCAGUUUCUUUUGAAUGUUCCAGUCCUAACUGUAUGGUACUCAAAAAGUAAAAAGAGGAAAAAGGCUUUUCACCACAGGUGGAAAAAGGCUUUUCACCACAGGUGAAAAAAGCCCUUUUUUAUUUGGAGAAGGAGGAGUAGGAGGGGGCAACCACAGGGGAAGGUACGAUGACCAACCACCUCAUUGUCUGCACCUCUGUGAUCAGAGGCAGCAAUCAGUUAUUAGAGCACAGACACCUCAAUGCUUGAAGGAUAAAGUCCUUUUUCCCUACCUGCUUUGUUCAAGCUGCUCUAGAAACAUAACAUUGUUUGGGUGGGGAGUCAGAUUGCUUGCUGGUGCUUCCUACUCCACCAUCUCCCAGAAUCCUCCAAAUGAAUAUAUUUUUAAAAGUCUAAAGAUGCACCAUUGGUAUUUAUAAAAAAAUAGAAUAUUGGUUUAAUCUGAAGGAAUGUGAUCAGAGCUGAACAUUCAGAUCAGCAUAGGUCUACUGGGCAGAAUUUGUGUGUCCUUCCAAGUAGUGUCUAGCAACAGGGUUGUUACUGGUUUAUGACUUAUUUUGGUUUUCUUUCUUCCUCCACAGAGAAGUUGAUGGUGACUGUUCCCAAGGGGCAUUUGGUGGCUAGAGUAGGAGGACAGGCUGCUCUCAGCUGCCAGUUGUCCCCACCACAAAGUGCAGAGCACAUGGAGGUGCACUGGUUCAGGGGUGACAAUUCCCAGCUUGUUUACCUGUACAGAGGUGGUCAUGAAGUAAAUGGAGAAGCUGCCCCUGAAUAUGUAAAUCGUACAGAGUUUGUGAAAGAGGCCAUGGGGGAGGGUAAAGUGACCCUCAAAAUUCAUAAUGUCAGCAUUUCUGAUGAUGGACCA
RNAcentral lists this long non-coding RNA (5617 nucleotides) under Marmota monax (woodchuck). The record is from RNAcentral. Lineage: Eukaryota; Metazoa; Chordata; Mammalia; Rodentia; Sciuridae.